Molecule: unclassified non-coding RNA, 391 nt
Filed under: soil metagenome
Description: partial contains 5.8S ribosomal RNA, internal transcribed spacer 2, and large subunit ribosomal RNA
Rfam family: 5.8S ribosomal RNA (bases 1-122)
Source: RNAcentral
GAUGAAGAACGUAGCGAAAUGCGAUACUUGGUGUGAAUUGCAGAAUCCCGUGAACCAUCGAGUCUUUGAACGCAAGUUGCGCCCGAAGCCAUUAGGCCGAGGGCACGCCUGCCUGGGCGUCACACGUCGUUGCCCCCCCAUCUACUCCUUCGGGAUUGCGGGGGGCGGAUGAUGGCCUCCCGUGCGCCUCGUCGCGCGGUUGGCAUAAAUGCCAAGUCCUCGGCGACGCACGCCACGACAAUCGGUGGUUGCGAAACCUCGGUUGCCCGUCGUGUGCGGUCGUCGCGCGUCGAGGGCUCGAAAAAAUUGUCGGGCUCCGGCUCGGCUUUCAACGCGACCCCAGGUCAGGCGGGGUUACCCGCUGAAUUUAAGCAUAUCAAUAAGCGGAGGA